UCACUAGGUGGCUAAAUAUUUCAGUGUGUUUAGGGAUUGAACUAUUCAGCCCUAGAAUGUUGGUAAUGGGGGGGGGGGGUAAUCAAAACCCUGAGUGAUGAGACGACAUACCUCUCACCAUUUCUUUUCUUUCGAGACGCUGUCCGAGAAUGGUUACACUCUUUUUUGCUGGAUGUCCUGAAAUUUGUCGUCCUAAAAACGGUUGGUGGAUGUUGUUCUCAACGUGCAGUGCCAAAUCAACAAGAUGCCUCUGUGGUCCCUACCAUGUUGUGAGAUGAAAUCGUGCAGAAGACAGGAAAUCUGAAAUGGUGACAAUUUACUUGAAAGACACCUUGAAUUCCUUUGUCAGUUUGGUGUUGAAGCUGUUAAUGGUGGUGAUGGCUAGUGUGGCAGUCAUUUUCCGAUUGAGAGAUCCACUGAUAUGGAGCUUCUGCAGACCUGCUGUUCAACAUCAGACUUCAAAAUACCAUGUUGGUGUCCAUUCUGUGUUGAGCUGUUGUGUGCAAAAUGGUUGGUGUUGCCUGAUGGCUGUCUGGCAUUUUGUUGGUGUGUUCUCUUGCUACUUGUACAUAUGUUGAGUUUAAUCGUACGCCGUCGUUCCAGAUCUGAUCCAUUGGUGAAGCUGAGAAGUUGCUGUAAUUCAAGACUGAUAAAUUAUUUAGAUUUAGACAAAUUAAAAAUGCAAAUCUAUUGUCCCUUCUUUUCCCUAAGUAAACAAAAAUGUCUUAUGUUGGUUAGUUGUGUGAAAACCAGGAAUGUUAUGAUGAAAUUGCAAUGAGAUUUAACUUUUCUCAGAACAAACGGAAACCCUAUCAACCUAACCGCAUUCAUAACAUUUCGCUCUUUAUACAAUAACACGGACAUGUUCAAAUAAAUAAAUUAUUAAA
Daphnia pulex (common water flea) is the source of this 887-nucleotide long non-coding RNA. RefSeq lists it as uncharacterized. NCBI's taxonomy places the organism in Eukaryota, Metazoa, Arthropoda, Branchiopoda, Diplostraca, Daphniidae. The transcript has 4 exons. The record is from RefSeq and is a predicted model, not a curated record.